RNAcentral lists this transfer RNA (72 nucleotides) under Rhodocyclaceae bacterium. RNAcentral's name for it is "tRNA-Arg". It matches the Rfam family "tRNA". From Rfam's summary of the family: Transfer RNA (tRNA) molecules are approximately 80 nucleotides in length. Their secondary structure includes four short double-helical elements and three loops (D, anti-codon, and T loops). The record is from RNAcentral. Lineage: Bacteria; Pseudomonadati; Pseudomonadota; Betaproteobacteria; Rhodocyclales; Rhodocyclaceae.
GCUCGCCUGGUGCAAUGGAUAGCACGCCACGCUUCGAACGUGGAGAUGGGGUUUCGACUACCUCGGUGGGUA